ACAGACAACUCAAACAAGUACGACUUAAAAUGUUUAUUGUACUUGUAUUGCUUCUUUUCUGCCAUACGAGAGGUGUAGAUGAAAUGCUUUGCUCUUCUGCCUUGCGAUUCUGUCCUCUUUUGCUUGCCAAUCAUCUGAAUCAGUUCUGCAGUAAAUAGUUAUGGAUUUUAUCGUGGUUACCUUGUCGUCAGUGAUGAUAAAUUUAUUUAUGUUAUGAUCAUAGCAGGGUGAAGAGGCAUCAGCCUUGGCUUCAACUGAAGGUGCAAAUGUGCUGGAUAGGACUAAUGAUAAAUCUAUUCCAGAGUCCAAUGCCCUGCCAGAUUUGUUUGAAGAAAACUUCAAAGAACUAAAGAAAUGGGUGGAUGUGAAAUCCUCCAAGUAUGCCACUCUAUUAGUGAUACAUGAGCGACGUUGUGGAAGGCUUGGAACUGCGCUUAAGGCAUUAAAUGACAUGAUUCAAGUGGAUGGUGAGGCUCCGAAGAAGAAGCUAUAUGAAUUGAAGCUGUCGUUGCUUGAUCAGAUUGGAUGGGGUCAUUUGGUGUCAUACAAGCGGCAAUGGAUGCAUUUCCGAUUCCCAGUGAGUCUACCGCUUUUUUAAGGUUGUGCAUUGUUUUGCAAGGUCGGGGGCAUUAUCUUGUGUAACCUGGUUUCCUAUGGAAAUCUUUUUGUUUUAGAUUGAUUUUUGCAAGGAUAAUUUCAAAAUACAAAUGGGAUUGCAUAACUAGAUAAUAUAACCUUUUUUCUUUUCCCCCCCUUUCUUUUUCCGGUGCUUUGUGAUCGUUGUUGCGUGAAUUUCCCUGAUGCCAAUUCGAUCAUUUCACAAGGAGAUGGUGGAAACAACUAUUAUUGUUUCUGCAAUUUGAAUU
Non-coding RNA from Camellia sinensis, 866 nucleotides. Lineage: Eukaryota; Viridiplantae; Streptophyta; Magnoliopsida; Ericales; Theaceae. The record is from RefSeq and is a predicted model, not a curated record.